AUCCAACUGACAAGUCCGAAAUAGAAUGAAACAUACGUCCUGGAU
Molecule: non-coding RNA, 45 nt
Filed under: Trichobilharzia regenti
Lineage: Eukaryota; Metazoa; Platyhelminthes; Trematoda; Strigeidida; Schistosomatidae
Source: RNAcentral